Molecule: long non-coding RNA, 1032 nt
Filed under: Callithrix jacchus (white-tufted-ear marmoset)
Lineage: Eukaryota; Metazoa; Chordata; Mammalia; Primates; Cebidae
Description: lncRNA (ENSCJAG00000082863.1)
Source: RNAcentral
GGACCCUCAGGACCGGGGCCUCCUCUCCCCUAACCCACCUUCCCUUGUAGGAAAAUGUCCUUAAGGACCCUCAGGACCCGGGCCUCCUCUCCCCUAACCCGUCUUCCCUUGUAGGAAAAUGCCCUUAAGGACCCUCAGGACCCGGGCCUCCUCUCCCCUAACCCGUCUUCCCUUGUAGGAAAAUGUCCUUAAGGACCCUCAGGACCGGGGCCUCCUCUCCCCUAACCCACCUUCCCUUGUAGGAAAGUGUCCUUAAGGACCCUCAGGACCCGGGCCUCCUCUCCCCUAACCCACCUUCCCUUGUAGGAAAAUGCCCUUAAGGACCCUCAGGACCCGGGCCUCCUCUCCCCUAACCCACCUUCCCUUGUAGGAAAAUGCCCUUAAGGACCCUCAGGACCCGGCCUCCUCUCCCCUAACCCACCUUCCCUUGCAGGAAAAUGCCCUUAAGGACCCUCAGGACCCGGGUCUCCUCUCCCCUAACCCACCUUCCCUUGUAGGAAAAUGUCCUUAAGGACCCUCAGGACCCGGGCCUCCUCUCCCCUAACCCACCUUCCCUUGCCAGGGUGACCCCGCCAGAACCAGGUGAGCCGCUGCCCACACAGGGACCCGCGGCCAACAGGCCAACGUCCUGGGGAAGCGCUUCUUACCCUGCUGCCUGGGACGGGAGAACGCAGGAGAGGCUGGAGAACACCCGGGAAAGGCCUGGAGAACACCCGGGAAAGGCUGCAGAACGCCGGGGAGAGGCCUGGAGAACGCCCGGGAAAGGCUGCAGAACGCCGGGGAGAGGCCUGGAGAACGCCCGGGAGGCUGAAGAACACCCGGGAGGCUGUAGAACGCCGGAGAGGCCUGGAGAACGCCCGGGAGAGGCCUGGUGAACACCCGAGAGGCUGGAGAAUGCCCUGGAGGCCUGGAGAACGCCCGGGAAAGGCUGCAGAACGCCGGGGAGAGGCCUGGAGAACGCCCGGGAGGCUGAAGAACACCCGGGAGGCUGUAGAACGCCGGAGAGGCCUGGAGAACGCCCGGGAGGCCUGA